UACGUAGGGGGCGAGCGUUGUCCGGAUUUAUUGGGCGUAAAGAGCGUGUAGGCGGUUCGGUAAGUCUGUCGUGAAAUCCUGAGGCUCAACCGCGGGCGUGCGAUGGAUACUGCCGGGCUAGAGGGUGGUAGAGGCGAGUGGAAUUCCCGGUGUAGCGGUGAAAUGCGCAGAUAUCGGGAGGAACACCAGUAGCGAAGGCGGCUCGCUGGGCCACACCUGACGCUGAGACGCGAAAGCGAGGGGAGCGAACAGG
This 253-nucleotide ribosomal RNA is filed under the name uncultured bacterium. RNAcentral's name for it is "partial 16S ribosomal RNA". It matches the Rfam family "Bacterial small subunit ribosomal RNA", at positions 524 to 776 of the family's 1533-position model. The record is from RNAcentral.